GAAAGCGUGGNGAGCGAACAGGAUUAGAUACCCUGGUAGUNCACGCCGUAAACGAUGAGUGCUAGGUGUUAGGCCCUUUCCGGGGCUUAGUGCCGCAGCUAACGCAUUAAGCACUCCGCCUGGGGAGUACGACCGCAAGGUUGAAACUCAAAGGAAUUGACGGGGGCCCGCACAAGCGGUGGAGCAUGUGGUUUAAUUCGAAGCAACGCGAAGAACCUUACCAGGUCUUGACAUCCCGAUGCCCGCUCUAGAGAUAGAGUUUUACUUCGGUACAUCGGUGACAGGUGGUGCAUGGUUGUCGUCAGCUCGUGUCGUGAGAUGUUGGGUUAAGUCCCGCAACGAGCGCAACCCUUAUUGUUAGUUGCCAUCAUUCAGUUGGGCACUCUAGCGAGACUGCCGGUAAUAAACCGGAGGAAGGUGGGGAUGACGUCAAAUCAUCAUGCCCCUUAUGACCUGGGCUACACACGUGCUACAAUGGCUGGUACAACGAGUCGCAAGUCGGUGACGGCAAGCUAAUCUCUUAAAGCCAGUCUCAGUUCGGAUUGUAGGCUGCAACUCGCCUACAUGAAGUCGGAAUCGCUAGUAAUCGCGGAUCAGCACGCCGCGGUGAAUACGUUCCCGGGCCUUGUACACACCGCCCGUCACACCACGAGAGUUUGUAACACCCGAAGUCGGUGAGGUANCCUUUUAGGAGCCA
This 697-nucleotide ribosomal RNA is filed under the name uncultured bacterium. Its description in RNAcentral is "bacterial SSU rRNA". It matches the Rfam family "Bacterial small subunit ribosomal RNA", at positions 755 to 1451 of the family's 1533-position model. The record is from RNAcentral.